This is a long non-coding RNA of Trachymyrmex cornetzi, 909 nucleotides long. RefSeq lists it as uncharacterized. NCBI's taxonomy places the organism in Eukaryota, Metazoa, Arthropoda, Insecta, Hymenoptera, Formicidae. The transcript is spliced from 3 exons. The record is from RefSeq and is a predicted model, not a curated record.
AGUAUAUAAGAUUUUUAAUAAGUGCUACGAAAAACUCUGACCGCAGGCCACAUACCAACAGUUGGCAAAACACGCCUCGAGAAAGAGACAGAAAGAAAAAAAGAGAGAACAGAGAGAAAGAAAUAGAGAGAAGAGAGAUAGAGCAAGAGGUCAGUGUGGACUGCGUGCGAGACGAAGAGAGGAGGAAAGAGAGCAAAAGAGCUCGAUCGCAGGCUGCAGAUGCUGGCGAUAGCGCGUAUAAAAGAUGUAUCUACAUUUAGUUCGGACAGGCACCACUUUAUUCGCUCGCCGAGCGCUAACAAGUGUUUUCCAUCGGCUGAAGCGGUGCUUUAAAGAUCCGCCGAGUGCAACCGGUCUGCCACGAAGUCGCGCUACUUGCUGGUAGCUCGUUUGGAAUUGCGGUAAAUCUCGCCGCGCGCGAACAACGCGCAACUGUCAAUCGGCGAAGCCAAGUUUUGAUUUACUUCACGCGCACAUCGUCGUACAUCCGUUGGCGUGUGCAACCGGAUGUUCUCCAUGACUGGUGUGCUUUUUCAUCCACUCCAUCAUUUACGAUCCGGUAAUGUAGUAUUCGCUACAGUGUAUACUACUAUCUUCAAAAUAUUUAGGAAGACUUCAAUAAUAGAUGUCGGCUGAAACGCUAGAAAUGUUCAACCUCACGAAGUCGAGAACUUCUGGCUUUGAUGGGGGUUACAACAUCGACUUGCAGUUCUCGAGAAUCACGAUUCGGUGACGUGUGGCUAUCUCCGGGUACCGCCGUGAACGAGUGCAUAUAAACGUAAAGUUUACCGUGUCGUCGUCGGUGCGCCGCGACAAAGGGAGUUGUGCCGCAGGCGGACGUUUCUACGUUUUAAAGCGUUUCAAGAGGGAACCGUGUCACCAUCAUUCGCAACAGAAAACACCACAGUU